CAGAGGGUGCGAGCGUUAAUCGGAAUUACUGGGCGUAAAGCGCGCGUAGGCGGCUUUUCAAGUCGAUUGUGAAAUCCCCGGGCUUAACCUGGGAACUGCAGUCGAGACUGUCUAGCUAGAGUAUGGGAGAGGGAAGUGGAAUUUCAGGUGUAGCGGUGAAAUGCGUAGAUAUCUGAAGGACAUCAGUGGCGAAAGCGACUUCCUGGACCAAUACUGACGCUCAUGUGCGAAAGCGUGGGGAGCAAACAGGAUUAGAUACCCUGGUAGUCCACGCCAUAAACGAUGAGAACUGGAUGUCGGGAGGGUCUGCCUCUCGGUGUCGUAGCUAACGCGUUAAGUUCUCCGCCUGGGGAGUACGGCCGCAAGGUUCG
This 371-nucleotide ribosomal RNA is filed under the name uncultured organism. RNAcentral's name for it is "bacterial SSU rRNA". It matches the Rfam family "Bacterial small subunit ribosomal RNA", at positions 526 to 897 of the family's 1533-position model. The record is from RNAcentral.